Molecule: ribosomal RNA, 440 nt
Filed under: uncultured Nitrospirales bacterium
Lineage: Bacteria; Pseudomonadati; Nitrospirota; Nitrospiria; Nitrospirales
Description: partial 16S ribosomal RNA
Rfam family: Bacterial small subunit ribosomal RNA
Source: RNAcentral
CCUACGGGAGGCAGCAGUGGGGAAUAUUGGGCAAUGGGCGAAAGCCUGACCCAGCGACGCCGCGUGGGGGAAGAAGGCCUUCGGGUUGUAAACCCCUUUUGCAGGGGACGACACAGGACGGUACCCUGCGAAUAAGCCACGGCUAACUCUGUGCCAGCAGCCGCGGUAAGACAGAGGUGGCAAGCGUUGCUCGGAUUUACUGGUCUUAAAGGGCGCGUAGGCGGCUUUAUAAGUCCGAGGUGGAAUUCUACAGCUUAACGGUGGAACUGCCUUGGAAACUAUAGGGCUUGAGUCAGGUAGAGGAGGGCGGAAUUCCCGGUGUAGCGGUAAAAUGCGUAGAUAUCGGGAGGAAGGCCGGUGGCGAAGGCGGCCCUCGGGGCCUGUACUGACGCUGAGGCGCGAAAGCGUGGGGAGCAAACAGGAUUAGAUCCCCCUGGAGU